CAGGCAGGUUGGAUAACCGCUUCUUUGUGCAUAAAACAGGGAAGAGGAAAGUCCGAACUCAGAGGGCAAACGUAUCCCGAUAUCAUCGGGACAUAAGCUUGUUAAGCUUGUAAGGAUUAGAGCCGCAGAGACGAGUCCUUGAAACUUUUGUUUCAAAGGGGUGAAACGUGGCAAUCUCUACGUGAGUUAAGGUCAAAUAGCCUACGCUUAAAGCUUGCUCGGCAUAGUGGGUGGGUUGACCGCGUGAAUCCUGAAGCAAUUCAGGGUCAAGACAAAUGGUUAUCUAAAACAGAAUUCGGCUUACAAACCUGUCUGCUUU
This 319-nucleotide RNase P RNA is filed under the name Candidatus Saelkia tenebricola. RNAcentral describes it as "RNase P RNA component class A". It matches the Rfam family "Bacterial RNase P class A". Rfam says of the family: Ribonuclease P (RNase P) is a ubiquitous endoribonuclease, found in archaea, bacteria and eukarya as well as chloroplasts and mitochondria. Its best characterised activity is the generation of mature 5'-ends of tRNAs by cleaving the 5'-leader elements of precursor-tRNAs. Lineage: Bacteria; Pseudomonadati; Candidatus Omnitrophota. The record is from RNAcentral.